This 622-nucleotide small RNA is filed under the name Pan troglodytes (chimpanzee). Its description in RNAcentral is "processed transcript". Lineage: Eukaryota; Metazoa; Chordata; Mammalia; Primates; Hominidae. The record is from RNAcentral.
AUGCUGCCCCCUUGGACCCUCGGCCUUCUCCUGCUGGCCACAGUCAGAGGAAAAGAGGUCUGCUACGGACAACUUGGCUGCUUUUCUGAUGAAAAACCAUGGGCAGGAACCCUUCAGCGACCUGUAAAAUUACUUCCCUGGUCCCCCGAGGACAUUGACACCCGCUUUCUUCUGUACACAAAUGAAAAUCCAAACAACUUCCAAGAUGAACCUGAGGAGGUUCGGUUGGAUCCAUCCGACGCUGUGUUUGUGGAUGUGAUUCACACAGAUUCUUCUCCCAUAGUUCCUUCCCUAGGUUUCGGAAUGAGCCAAAAGGUGGGCCAUCUGGAUUUUUUUCCAAAUGGAGGAAAGGAAAUGCCCGGAUGUAAGAAAAAUGUCCUUUCAACCAUUAUUGAUAUUGAUGGAAUAUGGGAAGGAAUUAGUGGCUUUGUGGCUUGCAAUCACCUAAGAAGCUUCGAGUAUUACUCAAGCAGCAUCGUCAACCCUGAUGGCUUCCUGGGCUAUCCCUGUGCCUCCUACGAUGAGUUUCAGGAGAGUAAGUGUUUCCCUUGUCCAGCUGAAGGAUGCCCCAAAAUGGGGCACUAUGCUGACCAAUUUAAGGGGAAAACCAGUGCUGUGGAAC